CCUACGGGGUGCAGCAGUGGGGAAUAUUGGGCAAUGGGCGCAAGCCUGACCCAGCAACGCCGCGUGAAGGAAGACGGCUUUCGGGUUGUAAACUUCUUUUGUCAGGGAAGAGUAGAAGACGGUACCUGACGAAUAAGCCACGGCUAACUAUGUGCCAGCAGCCGCGGUAAUACGUAGGUGGCAAGCGUUGUCCGGAUUUACUGGGUGUAAAGGGCGUGUAGCCGGGUUGACAAGUCAGAUGUGAAAUCCUGCAGCUUAACCGCAGAACUGCAUUUGAAACUGUUGAUCUUGAGUACUGGAGAGGCAGAUGGAAUUCCUAGUGUAGCGGUGAAAUGCGUAGAUAUUAGGAGGAACACCAGUGGCGAAGGCGGUCUGCUGGACAGCAACUGACGGUGAGGCGCGAAAGCGUGGGGAGCAAACAGGAUUAGAUACCCGUGUAGUC
Molecule: ribosomal RNA, 442 nt
Filed under: uncultured bacterium
Lineage: Bacteria
Description: partial 16S ribosomal RNA
Rfam family: Bacterial small subunit ribosomal RNA
Source: RNAcentral